CAAUAGCGUAUAUUAAAGUUGUUGCAGUUAAAAAGCUCGUAGUUGGAUUUCUGGUGGGAGCGUUGGGUCGGCCCUAAGGGCUCGUACUCAAAUGUUUUCCGCCAUCCUUGGAGGGAUGUUGUCUGGCAUUAAGUUGUCGGGCUUCCGAUCUCCAUCGUUUACUGUGAAAAAUUAGAGUGUUCAAAGCAGACCUGUUUGUGUCUGAAUAUUCGUGCAUGGAAUAAUGAAAUAUGAAUUCGGUUCUAUUUUGUUGGUUUUCGGAACUCGAGUUAAUGAUUAAGAGGGACAGACGGGGGUAUUAGUACUCUGCCGUUAGAGGUGAAAUUCUUGGAUCGGCGGAAGACUCGCAACUGCGAAAGCAUUUGCCAAGAAUGUUUUCUUUAAUCAAGAACGAUAGUCGGAGGUUCGAAGACGAUUAGAUACCAU
RNAcentral lists this ribosomal RNA (426 nucleotides) under uncultured eukaryote. RNAcentral's name for it is "bacterial SSU rRNA". It matches the Rfam family "Eukaryotic small subunit ribosomal RNA", at positions 592 to 1018 of the family's 1831-position model. The record is from RNAcentral.